RNAcentral lists this ribosomal RNA (293 nucleotides) under uncultured bacterium. Its description in RNAcentral is "partial 16S ribosomal RNA". It matches the Rfam family "Bacterial small subunit ribosomal RNA", at positions 505 to 796 of the family's 1533-position model. The record is from RNAcentral.
GUGCCAGCCGCCGCGGUAAAACGUAGGAGGCGAGCGUUAUCCGGAUUUACUGGGCGUAAAGCGCGUGUAGGCGGUUUCAUAAGUCGUGCGUGAAAGCUCCCUGGCUCAACCGGGAGAGGUCGUGCGAUACUGCGAAACUUGAGUCAGACAGAGGCAAGUAGAAUUCCGGGUGUAGUGGUGAAAUGCGUAGAUAUCCGGAGGAAUACCAGUGGCGAAGGCGACUUGCUGGGUCUGUACUGACGCUCAGACGCGAAAGCAUGGGGAGCGAACGGGAUUAGAUACCCUCGUAGUCC